RNAcentral lists this ribosomal RNA (319 nucleotides) under uncultured eukaryote. Its description in RNAcentral is "partial 18S ribosomal RNA". It matches the Rfam family "Eukaryotic small subunit ribosomal RNA", at positions 1470 to 1796 of the family's 1831-position model. The record is from RNAcentral.
CCCUUAGACGUUCUGGGCCGCACGCGCGCUACACUGAUGCAUUCAACGAGCACUCGCUUGGCCGAGAGGUCAGGCUAAUCUUUGAACGUGCAUCGUGCUGGGGAUAGAUGAUUGCAAUUAUUCAUCUUCAACGAGGAAUUCCUAGUAAACGCAAGUCAUCAGCUUGCAUUGAUUACGUCCCUGCCCUUUGUACACACCGCCCGUCGCACCUACCGAUUGAAUGGUCCGGUGAAAUCUCGGGACGGCGGCUUGGUCGCUUGCGUCCGACUGCUGAAACUUGAUUAAACCAUAUCAUUUAGAGGAAGGUGAAGUCGUAACA